Long non-coding RNA from Mus spicilegus (steppe mouse), 1566 nucleotides. Lineage: Eukaryota; Metazoa; Chordata; Mammalia; Rodentia; Muridae. The record is from Ensembl.
CCCAAACUGCCAUUUUACAGAGGAGAAACCUGGGCUUGGGGUGCCAGGCUGUGGUCUACAAGACCCCCUGUACUCACCUUAAACUUCCACAGGCUGGAAAGACCAAGACUCCUACCAGGUCUUCAUGAAGCUGAAGAGAUGUCCAGUAUCAUCGAUGUGUGUCUUGCUGUGUGUCCACUUAUCUGGGAUCCAUCAAGCAAAUUGGUUUCCUCUGCUUCUCCUGUCCAUGGGGCAGAGGACAAUUGAGACUAUGCCCAAGCUUUGGAAAUGAACAGUCACAGAAACCAAGACUGGUCCUUCUUCCUCUGGACUGGACUCCUCCUGUGCUAUGAAGGGGAGUUGGCAGCUGAUCCUGGAAUAUCUAGGCAGGCCGGAUGGGACAGGACUAUGGAAAGAUCAUUUGGUGGGUUCUUCUAUGCAGCCCAGACUGGUUUUGAACUUGCAUGCACACAGGCAUCCCACACCUACAUGAAGAUGGGGGAAAAGAUGAAGAGAGCAGAGCUGAGGACGGAGAAGAGCAAAAACAGGCCACUAACGCCUGUCAGCGAGGACCAGUGAGAAGAACGAUGACUUCUCACCAUACCCAACCCUCAGUGCCGGCAACCUGUCUGCUUCACCCCCAUGGAUGCCUUUUUCAGCUUUCUCCUCUCCUCCUCCUUUCCGCCCUCAGAUUUUGAGAUGGGCUGGCAGUCCUGACUCAGCCUCCCCCUCAUUGUGAUUCCAGGUGUGCAGCUCCAGCCCAGUUUUCCCAGUACUCUCCAUUCUCACAUCCUGCACUAAGCAUCUCUCACUGCUCCAUGUGCGCUAGAAGCCUGCACCCUGUGUAGACAUGCUCACACCACUCGAGCUCUGCAUUCUGUUUCUGGCAGCAGCCUGCUUUGUGUCCUUGGGUUCCAUGAAGACUCACCCGGCUCAGCUGAUGCUAGCCUUGUUUGGCCAUAGCCCCUGGCUUCUGGAAGAAUAGAAAGCAAAGGGAAAAGGGAUAAUUUUGAGUUCACCAGAAAAAAAGGAAAAAAGAAAAGAAACUGUGUGUGUGUGUGGUACACACCUUUAGUCUCAGCACUCAGAAGGCAGAGUCAGGUGGGCUCCUCUGAGUUUAAGGCCACAUGGUAUGCAUGAUGCACAUUGAGAGUUUCAGGACAUUCAUCACGAGGGACCAGGAGGAAUGCCAGGAGAAGUUCUCGGCUGUCUCUCUCUCUCAGGGAAGCGAAGAUCAGUGAAGAUUCGAGGAGACCGUCAAACGUUGAACAGCUAACUCUAUAAGCAAGCCUAGUUCUGCCUCUAGUUAUACCCUCCAAACAUCUUGUGUCCUCCAUGGGUCUUGCCUCUGCCAAUCAGCCCAAAUCUGAGCAAGCGGCAAAAAGCCGCAGCACACCACCAGAAGUUUUUUGGUGCGCUUCUCUCUACGGCGUCCCAACAAAUACAGCUCAACUACACAAUGUAAGGUGGACCAAUGCAUGCGUGUCGUUAGCAAUGAAUCCUUCACCACGUGUCCUUUCACGUGCUUGUUUGAGCAGAACAUCCUUUCACCUGUGACUGCUUCCGCUAAACGUUCAAGGUUCCAGG